This 497-nucleotide ribosomal RNA is filed under the name uncultured bacterium. RNAcentral describes it as "partial 16S ribosomal RNA". It matches the Rfam family "Bacterial small subunit ribosomal RNA", at positions 28 to 507 of the family's 1533-position model. The record is from RNAcentral.
GAUGAACGCUGGCGGCGUGCCUAAUACAUGCAAGUCGAGCGAACAGACGAGGAGCUUGCUCCUCUGACGUUAGCGGCGGACGGGUGAGUAACACGUGGAUAACCUACCUAUAAGACUGGGAUAACUUCUGGAAACCGGAGCUAAUACCGGAUAAUAUAUUGAACCGCAUGGUUCAAUAGUGAAAGACGGUUUUGCUGUCACUUAUAUAUGGAUCCGCGCCGCAUUAGCUAGUUGGUAAGGUAACGGCUUACCAAGGCAACGAUGCGUAGCCGACCUGAGAGGGUGAUAGGCCACACUGGAACUGAGACACGGUCCAGACUCCUACGGGAGGCAGCAGUAGGGAAUCUUCCGCAAUGGGCGAAAGCCUGACGGAGCAACGCCGCGUGAGUGAUGAAGGUCUUCGGAUCGUAAAACUCUGUUAUUAGGGAAGAACAAAUGUGUAAGUAACUAUGCACGUCUUGACGGUACCUAAUCAGAAAGCCACGGCUAACUACGUG